This 253-nucleotide ribosomal RNA is filed under the name uncultured bacterium. RNAcentral describes it as "partial 16S ribosomal RNA". It matches the Rfam family "Bacterial small subunit ribosomal RNA", at positions 524 to 776 of the family's 1533-position model. The record is from RNAcentral.
GACGUAGGGCGCGAGCGUUGUCCGGAUUUAUUGGGCGUAAAGGGCUCGUAGGCGGCCCGCUGCGUCUGCCGUGAAAGGCAUCGGCUUAACCGGUGUUUUGCGGUGGAUACGGGCGGGCUUGAGGCAAGUAGGGGAAACUGGAAUUCUACGUGUAGCGGUGAAAUGCGCAGAUAUGUGGAGGAACACCGGUGGCGAAGGCGGGUUUCUGGGCUUGUUCUGACGCUGAGGAGCGAAAGCGUGGGGAGCGAACAGG